GCCAGUAUCAAUGUUAUCCAAAUUGACGAGGCUGCUUUGAGAGAGGGGUUGCCUCUUAGAAAGUCGGAGCACGCCUUCUACUUGAAAUGGGCUGUCCACUCCUUCAGAAUCACCAACUGCGGUGUCCAGGACACUACCCAGGUUUGUAUAUUGCUUCACUUUUUUCACGUCGUGAAAGCUUUCGUAUCUGCACACCCUCUAAUUGGUGUUGUGUUUAUCCGACAGAUCCACACUCAUAUGUGCUACUCCAACUUCAAUGACAUCAUCCACUCAAUUAUCGACAUGGAUGCUGAUGUGAUAACCAUCGAGAACUCACGUUCAGAUGAAAAGCUCCUUUCAGUAUUCCGUGAAGGAGUGAAGUAUGGUGCUGGAAUCGGCCCUGG
This 383-nucleotide long non-coding RNA is filed under the name Gossypium barbadense (sea-island cotton). RNAcentral describes it as "long non-coding RNA (GBAR_LNC022654)". The record is from RNAcentral. Lineage: Eukaryota; Viridiplantae; Streptophyta; Magnoliopsida; Malvales; Malvaceae.